Molecule: long non-coding RNA, 509 nt
Organism: Monomorium pharaonis (pharaoh ant)
Lineage: Eukaryota; Metazoa; Arthropoda; Insecta; Hymenoptera; Formicidae
Exons: 2
Source: RefSeq, a predicted model, not a curated record
UUCAGUAUGGCUCCGAAUAUAUAUGGCAAUCUUCCAUAUGUCACAUUUUUGUGCACAUUUGCCCGCUAUUCAUUAAUAUCUGCGGCGUUGGAAGAAAGUCAUGAUAGCCAAUCAUUUCAAGAGCUGGAAAUGGUAAAACAAUCGCUUUUGAUGUGGAUAUAGCCACUGGUGAUUGUAGUUUUCCUGCGCAUGAUUUGUACUUCUGCGGCCACAAAUGUUGUUCUAAAAUAAAACAAAAUCACUAACACAUAAUUUUUUUCAUUCAUUAAAGCUACCAUUUAUAUGUAUGUUACAUAAUUGAUCAUUAUUUGAAUAAGAAUAAUUAUAAAAUCUCGUAAAUUUUUUAUUAUUGAUCUGUAAGUACUUGUUAAUUCUUAUAGAUAAAAAUUUACUGUUCAUAAGUAAUUUUUGACUUAUGAAUUAUGAUUGAUUUUAAUUAACGUUUUCUUAUUUUCGAGAUAAUUUUACCUGCUUGUUAUUUAAUUGUAAGGAAAGAAAAAGAAAAAAAA